ACCAGGCAUGGUGGUGCAUGCCUGUGGUCCCAUCUACUCAGGAGGCUGAGGUGUGAGGAUCCCUUGCGCCCAGGAGUUCAAGGCUGCAGUGAGCUAUGAUCAUGCCAAUGCACUCCAGCCUGGGCUAUAAAGUGAGAUCCCAUCUCUU
This is a non-coding RNA of Nomascus leucogenys (northern white-cheeked gibbon), 148 nucleotides long. It matches the Rfam family "Metazoan signal recognition particle RNA". From Rfam's summary of the family: The signal recognition particle (SRP) is a universally conserved ribonucleoprotein. It is involved in the co-translational targeting of proteins to membranes. Lineage: Eukaryota; Metazoa; Chordata; Mammalia; Primates; Hylobatidae. The record is from Rfam.